RNAcentral lists this ribosomal RNA (497 nucleotides) under uncultured bacterium. RNAcentral's name for it is "partial 16S ribosomal RNA". It matches the Rfam family "Bacterial small subunit ribosomal RNA", at positions 28 to 507 of the family's 1533-position model. The record is from RNAcentral.
GAUGAACGCUGGCGGCGUGCCUAAUACAUGCAAGUCGAGCGAACAGAUGAGGAGCUUGCUCCUCUGACGUUAGCGGCGGACGGGUGAGUAACACGUGGAUAACCUGCCUAUAAGACUGGGAUAACUUCGGGAAACCGGAGCUAAUACCGGAUAAUAUAUUGAACCGCAUGGUUCAAUAGUGAAAGACGGUUUUGCUGUCACUUAUAGAUGGAUCCGCGCCGCAUUAGCUAGUUGGUAAGGUAACGGCUUACCAAGGCAACGAUGCGUAGCCGACCUGAGAGGGUGAUCGGCCACACUGGAACUGAGACACGGUCCAGACUCCUACGGGAGGCAGCAGUAGGGAAUCUUCCGCAAUGGGCGAAAGCCUGACGGAGCAACGCCGCGUGAGUGAUGAAGGUCUUCGGAUCGUAAAACCCUGUUAUUAGGGAAGAACAAAUGUGUAAGUAACUAUGCACGUCUUGACGGUACCUAAUCAGAAAGCCACGGCUAACUACGUG